This 253-nucleotide ribosomal RNA is filed under the name uncultured soil bacterium. RNAcentral describes it as "partial 16S ribosomal RNA". It matches the Rfam family "Bacterial small subunit ribosomal RNA", at positions 26 to 285 of the family's 1533-position model. The record is from RNAcentral.
AGGACGAACGCUGGCGGCGUGCUUAACACAUGCAAGUCGAGCGGAAAGGCCCUUCGGGGUACUCGAGCGGCGAACGGGUGAGUGACACGUGAGGAACCUGCCCUGGACUUUGGGAUAACCCUCGGAAACGGGGCUAAUACCGAAUACGACACUUCACCGCAUGGUGUGGGUGUGGAAAGUUUUUCGGUCUGGGAUGGUCUCGCGGCCUAUCAGCUUGUUGGUGGGUAAUGGCCUACCAAGGCGACGACGGGUA